RNAcentral lists this long non-coding RNA (2197 nucleotides) under Paramuricea clavata. The record is from RNAcentral. Lineage: Eukaryota; Metazoa; Cnidaria; Anthozoa; Malacalcyonacea; Plexauridae.
GCAUAAUGAGAUUUUAAUUCACAGUAACUGGCCAAUUAUACAUAUAUGUUGUCUGUUUGAAGUUUGAACUCAGAUGACGUCAGUUAGUGGAGGUUCUACAGUAUCGUCGAUAUUUUCUAAUACAAUAAUGAAUGAAAAGGAAGAAAAGAUUUAAGAAUUAGUUAUAGUAACUUUCAAGCUUGUUUCCGCAAUUAAUGUUAAUUAAUUGAUUUUAAUUUAGCUCUCACAUAAUUCAAUUAUUUAGUAUAAAUAUUAUUUACCGUAUUAUAGCUAUAAUACCAAUUGUGGACAUCUAUUUUUACAAAUAUGACUACAUUAUAACGAAGUAGUAUUCCCGUAACUGAAAUUAGUCACCAAACGCUGUAAUGGUGCAGUGUUGCCGUUUUCGGUAUAGUGCAAAUUUACUCCAGCUUUGAUAUUGCAUGAUUGAAGCUUGUAUUCAAAUAUAAGAUAACACUAUACUUGCCUUCGGUGGAUGUACAGGGUGUCCCCAAAAAAGUGACACUAUAGAAAUUAUCUCAUUGUUCUUAAACCGCUUUUAAAGCGCGUGCUUAAACACCUGGGAACUUAACGACAUUGUAUUUAUAUACAUUUAAACAUUUUAAAACGGAUUCCAUAAAUACGUUUUGCUGAGUGCGGUUAACUGCGGUUACAUUCAAUAUUAGGUUAAAUUGUGUUACAAGAAAUACUCGUUGCUCUGUGGUCAAUUGGACCAUUAUUGUUACUCCAACCAGUGGCGGCGCAAGGGGGGGCAAGGGGGCCGCCCCCAUUCCCCCCUAAAAACAAUUAUUAGUCACAAAGAGCGACUAAAGGCUACACAGGGCCGUAGCUAGCAUGUAUAGUAGGGGUGUAGGCCAAAUAUUUCCGAAUCGGACGAAGAAAAUUUCCGAAUAUUUCAUGGCAUACGAAGCCACGAAGGUGUUUGCUAUUCGGAAAAUGAAGAUGCAAUUUACAAACAAAAAUACACAUAGUUUACGCAAAGACAUAUUACAGAAGCAUGCAGUGCCCUAGGAAGCUCUUUUUUAUUGGGGGCUGGGAACGAGGGCCGAAGGGCCGAGGAAAUUUUUAAAUUUAGAUUCUCUGAAAUGCCAUUUGCUACACUUUGGGUGGGGAAGUUUUGACAGAAAUAAUCAGUUUGAUCAUCUGAUUUUCAAUUUCCCGUUUGUAAUGCAAAAUGUCUUAUAUAAAAACGGCAAACUAAUUCGCAAGGCUAUAUUAUCCGCAUUUUACAACAUUCAACGGAACUUCGGAAUAUUACUAAUUUUGUGAUGCUUUUUCAAGCUGUGGUGAAAUUUUUGUCCAGCCUUGACUAGAUCAAAAAUUUCACUCAAAUGGGGGGAAAUUAAGGUCUAUUGUAGAGGUGUGCAAAUCCGAUUCGAAUCCAAUCGGAUUCGUUCGGAUUUCGGAACCAAAAUGUAAAUUUCGGAUCGGAUUGAUAAAGUUGUUUCGUAGUCGGAUCGGACUUCGAUAUCCGAAAUAAAAUGAAUUAAUUAUCCAUGCGUUGUCGCAAGAAUUAAUUAUCCAUACAUUUAUCAAAGUAUCAUCGCGGUUUUCGCUGCAUUAUUCGUUUGAUACUUCAAUUGAACGUCACUUUGUCACUAAUUGUCAGCUUCUUGACAUGUAUUUCUUGCUUUUAUAUUUGGUUAAAUAGUUCAACUUGAAUGAGAAAUUUAUUUUAUUAAAGAAUUCUUCGGAUUGGAUCGGAUUGUAAUUCUUUUUCAAAACUCGGAUCGGAUUCGGAUUAGACAAUUUCGGAUCGGAUUUUAAACAUUAGGCAAUUGUCGGAUUAUAAACGUCCAAUCCGAUCCGAUGAACACCUCUAAUCUAUUGUCAGUAUUUUAAAGGUAUAUUAUUCAAAUGAUAAAGGAGUGCAUGAUUUUGAAAAAAGAACGAUAACCAGCAAAUUAUUGUAAGGGCUGCUGGCCCCAGUCCCCCCCUCCCCUCCCCCCUCCGGUCGGCUACGGCCCUGAGAAGUAAUAAACCGAAAAACAUUUACUGAUUUACGAUUUGUUUUACGUUAUCCAUGUAAAUGCCGUGAUUUCGUAAAUCAGUUUAUACCAAUGGUUUAUACUGACAAUACCAUUUUAUAAUAUUUUCUCUGUUUAAACAACUAAAAUUUUGUUAUACUAUUAUUGCCGUAAUUUUCCGAAUGGCCAACCCGAUUUUCCGAAUAUGUUAAUUCUACAAAAGUUGGGGG